UACGGAGGGGGCGAGCGUUAUUCGGAAUUAUUGGGCGUAAAGGGCGCGUAGGCGGCCCGGUAAGUCAAAGGUGAAAUCCCUCGGCUCAACUGAGGAACUGCCUUUGAAACUGUCGGGCUUGAGGCCGGGAGGGGGUAGCGGAAUUCCCAGUGUAGCGGUGAAAUGCGUAGAUACUGGGAGGAACACCAGUGGCGAAGGCGGCUACCUGGACCGGUUCUGACGCUGAUGCGCGAAAGCGUGGGGAGCAAAAGGG
Molecule: ribosomal RNA, 253 nt
Filed under: uncultured bacterium
Lineage: Bacteria
Description: partial 16S ribosomal RNA
Rfam family: Bacterial small subunit ribosomal RNA
Source: RNAcentral